Non-coding RNA from Kogia breviceps (pygmy sperm whale), 8150 nucleotides. The record is from RefSeq and is a predicted model, not a curated record. NCBI's taxonomy places the organism in Eukaryota, Metazoa, Chordata, Mammalia, Artiodactyla, Physeteridae.
ACAAAGAUAUUUUCUCUGGAAAAGUUGUAUGAGGAAAAAAAAGUUUUCUCUGGGCGGAUGAAACGAUUUUCUGAAGAGCGAGAGAGAAGUCAGAAAUUCAUUAAAAGGUAUUAAAGACAUUAAAGCACAUACUUAGAGAUUAGCGAGAUACUAUGUCUAGUUAUUCCACAAGCUUAUGCUCUUUUCUCUAUAGGAAUUCCUUCUUGUGAACACGGUCAUAUACUUUCUUUCAGAUAUUAAAGACUCCAGAAAGAUGUCUUCUCAACAUCAGCAGUGCAAGCAGCCCUGCCAGCCAACACCAGUGUGCCCACCUAAGUGCCCUGACCCUUGCCCACCUGGCAAGUGUCCGGAACCUUGCCCACCUAUAAAGUGCCCUGACCCAUGCCUGGUUCAGCAGUGCAAGCAGAAAUGCCCUCCUGGGCCACCUGCCCAUCAUUGCUAGCAGAAGUGCCCACCCAAGUGCAUGUAAGAGCUUGAGCUUUUAUCUGCAUCUGGAAAGGAUAAGGACAAUCGGCUCAACUAGUUCCAGAGCUCCACCUUCAUCUUCUCUUCAAAGCUUAUCAUGGAUACGGAAGAAGCUUCUCCGCCCUUCAGCCUCAAUAUGCGUGGGGGUGAUUCCUGACAGACGGAGGUUUCCUCUCGGAGGCUGCUGUACUGCUUCCUUCUGGGAGGUGCCCGAGAAAGCAUCCCAGAGCCUCAGAAGGAAGAGCAGCAGCUCUCCUCCUGGGCGCCCUCUGAGGAUUCUCUCGCUGUCUUCUGUGUCGGUCGCUCACCUGGGCAUGGGUUUCUACCAGCUGAGCAAUUGUUACUUAUCCUCCACUUCUUGAAUAAAAUACAAUUCUUCUGCGUGAUGGGAAAAACAUUUUCUUUCUUUUAAAACCUGCGUUCAGCAAUAUCAUAUCAUAAUUUUGCUUGAUUUCUAUCCUUCUUUGAUCCCGAGUUUCAGGCUCUCACAGUCAGUGUUAUCUGAAUUCUGAGUCGUAUCAAUGAUUAUUCUUAUACAGUUUCAAAUCCAGUUUAUUUUCCUAAUUACAGCUUGAUUGAUUUGAGGAACAAAUCAUUUAACAUCUUGUGAUUUCAAACCCUUGAAUAAACUGUGGGGGAAAUCACAUUUACAGUGCCAACUUGCUUAGGCAUAAAAAUUCCAUGAACGUGUGUCAUUCCGUUGGCACAAUGCCGGGCACACAAUUGCCAUUUGAGAGGUGACUGAUCAUCAUUGUCCCUGUCAUCAUCACCGUCACCACCAUCAGCACCGUCACCACCACGCCCAGGUGCUCCUAGCAGGGGACUGGCUCAGACAUACCUAGUAGAGCAAGCAAGGAGAUCCUUAAACUCUAUUACCCGUUCAUAUUCUGUGUUCUUUUUCUUUUCCAAUUUAAGCGAAUUUUUAAUAUGACACCACAGAAUAACGAGUUUGGGAAAUUUGGGGGAGACUCUGCCUAAAAGUAUAAUCAUUCUGAAAACAUGGGUAGUACCAAAGAAAGGAAGUGUAAAGGGACCUUACCAGACAAAGUGCUGCCUGCUCUCCAUGUGCACAGCGCGCGCUUCUUAUGGCAAAGCUCAACUACCUCAGGGUCUUAUUAUAUUUUUUGCCCUCGGAAAUUACAUUCUUGAUUAUUUUGACCCCACUUUUGAGGUACACUGGGGAUUCCAAUGUUUAUCUUGAUUUACAAAAUGACUGCUGCUAUGCAGCUUGUUUUCCAAGUGCUUAGCUUACUGGUCCAGUAAGCUGUGAAAAGGGAUGUGUUCAUUAAGCAUAUCUCUCCUUGUGGUUAGAGGUAAAAGAGUCAAAGAUGCCAGAACUGCAGAAGCAAAAAGAUGCCCAUGUUACUGCCCAACGUUCACCACACUAUGACAUGAGUGAAAAAUCAACACUGAUAUUUGGGACUUGUCUCUACUGUAGCCACUGUCAUUUGACCUGACAUAGAAAUUAGUUCUUUGAGGUGGCAUGCUCCUGUAACAAAUCUUAAAAUUGUGGCAUUGGUCUAUGUGUCUGGAGGUGGUUGGAAAGGAAUCUGAUAUUGGAGGCUGUAAAUGUGGUGCGACAUCUAAUCCAAUGGCAAAAUGUUUGCAGUAAUGGUUGUCCAUUGUAUCUUUAGUGGCAGACCAAAGGUUGGUCAUUUGUUGAUAUGCCCAGGGUAUUUCAGUGGAUGUAUGUACAGGAAAAACUUUCUUGUUGACAGGCCAGAAAUGAAAACAAUGAAAAGGAAAAUAAUACCGCCCAGAAAUUCAAAACCGUGUUGAAUUAGAAAACUCACGGCUUGUAAGCCCUAAAGAGUAAGAGAAGAGAUUAGAAGUGCUUUUCAACUAGAAGUCAAAUUUCAGUUGACUGUUACAACAGAGAAAAGAGACAGAAGGUGUCGUCUUUCUACCUGUGUGCCAGGGAGCCUCAUGGUAGCUGUAAUAUGUUAGGGGGAAAGGCAGUAAUUUCAUCAGGCCAGAAAAUUACUUCUACGAAGGACCUUACUGAGAUCCGUAGGACAUAGAAAUGAUUGGAGGACUGAAUUAGAUCAGGUGCCUAAUAAGUUUUUGAGGCUAUUGAGAACUAAAUAAACUAUGCGCCAAAACAAAAAAGAAUGAUUUUCAAGAUCACUAACGACUUUUCAGCCCACAUUUCCCCACUUUCCACCCUACCCAAAUCAGAUAUUGUCAGUACAGGUGACUAAAAGGGAAUAUCCAUUCUGAGAUGGGUACAAGGCCCCCAGAGAAUAAUGGAUAAAGGAAGCUCUCUCAGAGAAUAGUAUCAGAUCCUAAGAGAGCCCAGGAGGAGAAGGAACACAGAAACGCUCAAACAUUGUUACUCUGUUGUAUGAUGGUUAUUCUCUCAUGCUUUCCCUCUGGGUUUAUUGAGCUAUAAUUGACAAAUGAAAUGGUACAUAUUUACGGUGUAUAAUGGGAUGAUUUGACAUAUGUGCACUUUGUGCAGUGAUGACCACCAUCGGUCACUUAGUACAUUAAUCACUUCAUCAGCAACAAUGUAAUAUCUGUAUAUCUCUCUCUCUCUCUCUCUCUCUGUGUGUGUGUGUGUGUGUGUGUGUGUGUGUGUGAUGAGAAUGCUUACAGUCUAACUUCUCAGCAAGAUUCAAGUACACAACUGAGUGUUUUUAGCUAGAUGACCAUGCUGUACUGUAGAUUCUGAGAACUCAUUUAUUGUAUGAUUGCCGGCUUGUACCCUUGGCCCAACAUCGCCACUUUUGCCCGACCCCUUACUCCCUGCUGACCACCAUUCUACUCUCUGUUUCUGUGACACCUGUGAGUUUGGAAACACAUUCCUAAAUAAACAAUGGUGCGAAGAAGAAAUAACGAAUAAAUAGAAAAUACCUGGAGAUGAAUGAAAACGAAAACAUACAAGAACUUUCGGGAUAAAUGUAAUGGAGCACAAAGAGAGCAACCUAUGGCUGGAGAUAUCUGUAUUACAUAAGAUGAUCUCAAAUCAGUAACUUGAUAGACAAGUAUGCAUGUUUGUGGGUUUAUGAAAAUUGAAAACUCGUAACAUUAAUAGAGCAAAAUAUAAGCAGUGAUUAUUUGGGGCCGUUUAAUAGACAUGCUCAUUUUUUAACAGUUUUAUGUUUUCCCCAUUAUAUAUUAAAUGAUAUAGCUUCAUUUUUGUAACAAUGUAUCAUAUUAUUUAAAAAAUAUAUAGUAGCCAGUGAAGAUGUGGCUGAGCUGCAGGGAACGUUUACAUCCUGGCCUACUGGCACAUGCCCAGUUGACGACUCUUUCACAGGUUUCAAGUGUCUCCUCUUUCUCUUCCUCUCCUCCUCAUUCCCCUCUUCUUCCUGCUGUCCCAUUAUAAAACCCCAUUCCUAAGAAGCUUCCUGAUUCUUUGGUCAAGACAAAUUACUAGGCCAGUUCUUCCUUCUGACUGCAGGAAGAAUUAUGAAAGAUAUGAAAGGACUAUUACUAAAUGCAUGGGCGAUAUGUCAAAGUAACAAAUUGGACGGUUAAGGGGUAGGUAAUGGCAGUGAAGGUAAUAUGGCAGGUUGAGGGUUCUGGAACGCGAAGAGGAAGCCAGAGAAUAAACAGUGAAAAACAUUUUCAAAUUACUGUCUUCAAACACCUAAAACAUCGUUGGAAUGAGUGGAACAAAGAAAAUGUAUCAGAUGUGCCCUAAGUUCACAUUUCAUCUAGAUGUCAGACCUUUAGUGCUUUGCUUCUCUCUCCCCUCCCAACGUCACUCUGAAUCAUUUAUAGGGGACGCUGUGGGUCUUAAAUGGUAUCUUAUAUCUAGUUUUGGUUUCACACAACUGAAACCUGGUAUUUACUUAUAGAAUACAAGAGAUUUAUUUCCUGAUAAAGGAAUUUUAAGCACUCGACCGCGGUCUAGGGAAGAGUUUGCAUCAGGUGAGAUGGGACAUCCUGAUUGCAUUAAACAUGUGUUCCCACAUUCUACAGUAUCAUAAAGCGAGAUUUGCAACGCUUUUCCUAAACCAGACAGGGGCCUUCACCAACCAUGAGCCAUCACAAAACUCUUCAGUGUCCAAGGGGACAGCAUAGCAAACAAUAGUGUUCGUGUCCGGGAUAGAAGGGAGGAACUGUAGAAAAACUGCUGACAGCGAAAUCACUGAAACGUCAGAACUGAAAUCUUUGGAGGACAUGCUAAGGAACUGGCUCCUGAACUUCAGUUAUUUGCUAAAAGCUCAUUAUAUUUGUCAUAAUUCCACACCCCAUGUGUCACAUUACAUUCAUAUGUUUGGCUUUAACUUCACUUCCCAAUAAUCUUGAACAUUUUUAUUUUAAUUGGCCGUAGGUAAUCAUGUACAUGACUUGACAGAUGAAAUAUUCAAAUUAUAUAUUGCAAUAUGUAUGUACUUAUAUACAUACAGAAAUAUGUUACAGAAAGAGGGACAAGGACAGAGAGAGAGAGAGAUUAAAAUGUCUGGAACACGCAAGUUCUGCAGAGUUGAAGCUCUGCUGGAAGUCCAUCUGACAGGGGAAUACUCUUUUACCUGAGGGAGCGUCAGCCUUGUUCUCUUCAGGCCAUCAGUGGAUUGGAUGAGAACUUCCCACAUUAUAGCGGGCAACCACCUUAACUCAGGCAACUGAUUUCAAUAAUACUCUCAUCCAAAAUCAUCCUUACAGAAACCCACAGAAUAACGUUUGACCAGAAAACUGGGGACCUGUGCCAGUGAAUCUGACCCACAAAUUAACCAUCAAACCUUUCUUCCAGCACAUUGACAAAUUAUAUGAAGAAAGUAGAGCAGGAAAUAGGUUUAUUUGACAUAAGCUCCACCGUGAGCAAAAUGGAAAAGGCAAAGAAACACGUUCAAAAUAUAACACAAUUAUGAUUAAUGAUUAAGAAGUUGUAUAUGAAUGGCAAUGAACUUCAGUGACUGCAUUUUUGAUAAAGUGAUUUCAACUUUCUCUUGAAUUUAUCCCUAGAUUUGAUGUGAAACAACAUGUGUUUAAAUAAUUCGUAAGUAUUAAACACACGCAAAAUUAGCUGUGUGAAUGGAACUGCAUAAUAGAUUGGGUUUCCCAAUAAUUUCAAAGCGACGGGAAGCCAGAAAAUUUGAACAAUCCUCCGAGAUUUCUUCAAAAAUGGAAGACAUCCAAAGAGGUCAGUUGGGAGAAACUAAAUUGGAGCAUGUGUUAUGUCACAUUUCGGACGUAUGAGCCAAAAGCUUCAUUUCUGUUGUAAAUCUAGGGUCUGAGCUGCCAGCUCAUCUGAAUUAUGGUAGGGGAUGCUACGUGCCUAGUGAAUUCCUUGUGGCAGGAAGUAAAACAGGUUAAUAAAGGUCACAGGAAUCUGACUGCUGGAUGUUCUUUAUUUGAAGGAGCAAACAGUAAAAGGAGGACCGUAGGGGUCAACACUUUACUACACGUUUCUAAGUCGCAUGAUAGGAAAUCAUAUUAGAUGAUCUGCAAAUUUCCCUCAGUCCAUUUUCGAAGAUGAAAGGAGACUUUGUCCAGCAAGCCAUGAAUCAAGGGGAGAUGAACUGUAAGAAAGACUUGAGGUAAAGAGACAUGUGUCACCAGGUAGCGAGGCCCUUUUCAAACCAGUAUGUACGAAAAAAUUGCCACCAGGUCAAGGGCAGCUAGGCAGGUAGUUUUAGAAGUCAAGGAUGGUGAAAGAUAGAAAAGGGUCAUCCUCCCCAGUGAAGGAAGGGAGAGUUUGACUACAAGUUAGAGAACACUCCAAGUGCUCCCACGGCCAUAAACCACUGAAACGGGGAGCUAAGGCAGGGACUAUGUGAGCCAUGAGAACAGAAUCCAGUGAGGAGAUCCUGGAACAGGAUAUUUCCUGUUUUCAGAGUCCCUGCCAAGCCAGUUAUGGAUGGAUUUGCAUUUGGGUUGGGAAAUGAUUGGACCAGGUCAGUUCUGGUAGCUCUGCUUCCCCCUGGGUGGGGCAGCAAGCCCCAAUAAAAAGGUCCUCUGCUGCACGACGGCUAUCCUCCUGCUCCUCGACUUCCGAUUGACUUUGGAGAAUCUGAUUUGAUGUGAAACAACAUGUGUUUAAAUAAUUCGUAAGUAUUAAACACACGCAAAAUUAGCUGUGUGAAUGGAACUGCAUAAUAGAUUGGGUUUCCCAAUAAUUUCAAAGCGACGGGAAGCCAGAAAAUUUGAACAAUCCUCCGAGAUUUCUUCAAAAAUGGAAGACAUCCAAAGAGGUCAGUUGGGAGAAACUAAAUUGGAGCAUGUGUUAUGUCACAUUUCGGACGUAUGAGCAAAAAGCUUCAUUUCUGUUGUAAAUCUAGGGUCUGAGCUGCCAGCUCAUCUGAAUUAUGGUAGGGGAUGCUACGUGCCUAGUGAAUUCCUUGUGGCAGGAAGUAAAACAGGUUAAUAAAGGUCACAGGAAUCUGACUGCUGGAUGUUCUUUAUUUGAAGGAGCAAACAGUAAAAGGAGGACCGUAGGGGUCAACACUUUACUACACGUUUCUAAGUCGCAUGAUAGGAAAUCAUAUUAGAUGAUCUGCAAAUUUCCCUCAGGCCAUUUUCGAAGAUGAAAGGAGACUUUGUCCAGCAAGCCAUGAAUCAAGGGGAGAUGAACUGUAAGAAAGACUUGAGGUAAAGAGACAUGUGUCACCAGGUAGCGAGGCCCUUUUCAAACCAGUAUGUACGAAAAAAUUGCCACCAGGUCAAGGGCAACUAGGCAGGUAGUUUUAGAAGUCAAGGAUGGUGAAAGAUAGAAAAGGGUCAUCCUCCCCAGUGAAGGAAGGGAGAGUUUGACUACAAGUUAGAGAACACUCCAAGUGCUCCCACGGCCAUAAACCACUGAAACGGGGAGCUAAGGCAGGGACUAUGUGAGCCAUGAGAACAGAAUCCAGUGAGGAGAUCCUGGAACAGGAUAUUUCCUGGUUUCAGAGUCCCUGCCAAGCCAGUUAUGGAUGGAUUUGCAUUUGGGUUGGGAAAUGAUUGGACCAGUUCAGUUCUGGUAGCUCCGCUUCCCCCUGGGUGGGGCAGCAAGCCCCAAUAAAAAGGUCCUCUGCUGCACGACGGCUAUCCUCCUGCUCCUCGACUUCCGAUUGACUUUGGAGAAUCUGGAAUUCCUUCUUGUGAACACGGUCAUAUACUUUCUUUCAGAUAUUAAAGACUCCAGAAAGAUGUCUUCUCAACAUCAGCAGUGCAAGCAGCCCUGCCAGCCAACACCAGUGUGCCCACCUAAGUGCCCUGACCCUUGCCCACCUGGCAAGUGUCCGGAACCUUGCCCACCUAUAAAGUGCCCUGACCCAUGCCUGGUUCAGCAGUGCAAGCAGAAAUGCCCUCCUGGGCCCCCUGCCCAUCAUUGCUAGCAGAAGUGCCCACCCAAGUGCAUGUAAGAGCUUGAGCUUUUAUCUGCAUCUGGAAAGGAUAAGGACAAUCGGCUCAACUAGUUCCAGAGCUCCACCUUCAUCUUCUCUUCAAAGCUUAUCAUGGAUACGGAAGAAGCUUCUCCGCCCUUCAGCCUCAAUAUGCGUGUGGUGAUUCCUGACAGACGGAGGUUUCCUAUCUGAGGCUGCUAUACUGCUUCCUUCUGGGAGGUGCCCGAGAAAGCAUCCCAGAGCCUCAGAAGGAAGAGCAGCAGCUCUCCUCCUGGGCGCCCUCUGAGGAUUCUCUCGCUGUCUUCUGUGUCGGUCGCUCACCUGGGCAUGGGUUUCUACCAGCUGAGCAUUUGUUACUUAUCCUCCACUUCUUGAAUAAAAUACAAUUCUUCUGCGUGAUGGGAAAAA